Non-coding RNA from Sturnus vulgaris (Common starling), 271 nucleotides. NCBI's taxonomy places the organism in Eukaryota, Metazoa, Chordata, Aves, Passeriformes, Sturnidae. The record is from RefSeq and is a predicted model, not a curated record.
AGCAGGGCUGAACGGUUGGUGUGGGACAGCCAGCCCUACCUGCUGAGCCCUCAGGCCCCCAUUCGAGAGGCGGCCCUCAGGCUCGUUGGGCUGGCUGCGCGGCACCUGAGAGAGCAGAGUGAGGACACCCUGGCUGAGAUCCUCUUGGAGCUUCAAAUACUUCAAGCAAGAGAGAAGGAUGCCUCCAUUUGUUGCCUGGCAGCUCAGACCAGCUUUAACCUGAAAUCUCCAAGGAAGCAGCAAAGAUCAGGAUUCUGCCUGCACACACUGU